UUGGAUCAAGCAGGAAUCCCCCGCUGAAACUUAAGCAAGUCAAUAAAGCGGGGGGGAAACUCCUUUUCCUUUUCGCUCGCCGUCUGACAUUUAGCUUCCCUCU
RNAcentral lists this ribosomal RNA (103 nucleotides) under Trichoderma inhamatum. Its description in RNAcentral is "partial 28S ribosomal RNA". The record is from RNAcentral. Lineage: Eukaryota; Fungi; Ascomycota; Sordariomycetes; Hypocreales; Hypocreaceae.